RNAcentral lists this unclassified non-coding RNA (266 nucleotides) under Hevea brasiliensis (rubber tree). Lineage: Eukaryota; Viridiplantae; Streptophyta; Magnoliopsida; Malpighiales; Euphorbiaceae. The record is from RNAcentral.
AAAAAAAAAAAAAAAAAUCUAAGCUUGAUUUUGGGUACGACUUUUGAAAUUUCAGUUUUAGUUCAAGUUGUAAAAGGAUGUGGACUUAAACAAAUAGAAAAGAGAACCUAUAACUAACCAAAUCUUGGAGAAUAUACUUGAAAAUAACACCUUUUUAGUCGGCAUUUUAAUAUUCAGCGUCAAGAAAUCUUUAUGUACAUUCUUCAAUGCAAUCUCAAAACAAUAAGCCUACCAAUCAAAAUUGUGAGAAAAUAGAACAUAAGAAG